GAGUAACACGUGAGUAACCUCGCCCCUCACUUCGUGGACUAACCGCUUGGAAGGGUGGCUAAGUACGGGGUGUUCGUGGCCUGCUCGCAGUGGGUGGGUUUGGAAAGAUUCGUACGGUUUGGUUGUUUUGGUGGGGGAUGGGCUCGCGGCCUAUCAGCUUGUUGGUGGGGUGAUGGCCUGCCAAGGCUUUGACGGGUAGCCGGCCUGAGAGGGUGGGCGGUCACACUGGGACUGAGACACGGCCCAGACUCCUACGGGAGGCAGCAGUGGGGAAUAUUGCACAAUGGGCGCAAGCCUGAUGCAGCGACGCCGCGUGAGGGAUGGAGGCCUUCGGGUUGUGAACCUCUUUCGCCAGUGAAGAAGGUCCUGCUCUUUGUGGUGGGGUUGACGGUAGCUGGGUUAAUGAAGCGCCGGCUAACUACGUG
RNAcentral lists this ribosomal RNA (425 nucleotides) under uncultured Actinomyces sp. RNAcentral describes it as "bacterial SSU rRNA". It matches the Rfam family "Bacterial small subunit ribosomal RNA", at positions 108 to 507 of the family's 1533-position model. Lineage: Bacteria; Bacillati; Actinomycetota; Actinomycetes; Actinomycetales; Actinomycetaceae. The record is from RNAcentral.